AGAACGAACGCUGGCGGCAUGCCUAACACAUGCAAGUCGAACGAGACCUUCGGGUCUAGUGGCGCACGGGUGCGUAACGCGUGGGAAUCUGCCCUUGGGUUCGGGAUAACAGUUGGAAACGACUGCUAAUACCGGAUGAUGACUUCGGUCCAAAGAUUUAUCGCCCAGGGAUGAGCCCGCGUAAGAUUAGCUAGUUGGUGGGGUAAAGGCCUACCGAAGGCGACGAUCUUUAGCUGGUCUGAGAGGAUGAUCAGCCACACGUGGGACUGAGACCACGGCCCAGACCUCCUACGGGAGGCAGCAGUGGGAAUAUUGACAAGUGGGACGAAGCCUGA
This 335-nucleotide ribosomal RNA is filed under the name uncultured soil bacterium. RNAcentral's name for it is "bacterial SSU rRNA". It matches the Rfam family "Bacterial small subunit ribosomal RNA", at positions 26 to 386 of the family's 1533-position model. The record is from RNAcentral.